Molecule: ribosomal RNA, 585 nt
Filed under: uncultured bacterium
Lineage: Bacteria
Description: bacterial SSU rRNA
Rfam family: Bacterial small subunit ribosomal RNA
Source: RNAcentral
CCUACGGGAGGCAGCAGUGGGGAAUUUUGGACAAUGGGCGCAAGCCUGAUCCAGCAAUGCCGCGUGAGUGAAGAAGGCCUUCGGGUUGUAAAGCUCUUUUGUCAGGGAAGAAACGGCUGAGGUUAAUACCUUCGGCUAAUGACGGUACCUGAAGAAUAAGCACCGGCUAACUACGUGCCAGCAGCCGCGGUAAUACGUAGGGUGCAAGCGUUAAUCGGAAUUACUGGGCGUAAAGCGUGCGCAGGCGGUUUUGUAAGUCUGACGUGAAAUCCCCGGGCUCAACCUGGGAAUUGCGUUGGAGACUGCAAGGCUGGAGUCUGGCAGAGGGGGGUAGAAUUCCACGUGUAGCAGUGAAAUGCGUAGAGAUGUGGAGGAACACCGAUGGCGAAGGCAGCCCCCUGGGUCAAGACUGACGCUCAUGCACGAAAGCGUGGGGAGCAAACAGGAUUAGAUACCCUGGUAGUCCACGCCCUAAACGAUGUCUACUAGUUGUCGGGUCUUAAUUGACUUGGUAACGCAGCUAACGCGUGAAGUAGACCGCCUGGGGAGUACGGUCGCAAGNUUAAAACUCAAAUGAAUUGACGG